AUAAAAAUCUUGUUGAAAUUGAUUAUUAUUUAUUAUAUUAUUGAAAAACCAUUUUUGUAAAGUGUAUGGUUGAAAGAAAUUUUUGAGAAAACUAGAGUGAAAAAGUACCGUGAGGGAAUGAAUGAAAUGGAAAAAAAGUAGAGAUGAAAGCUCGUACCUUUUGUAUGAUGGCUUAUCUAGAUAAAGAGUGUAAAUAACGCUUUCCCCGAAGUGAAUUGAGCUACUAAGUUUCUGUGUCAAUGUGGAAAGAUUGUACUAAGAGAAUUUAGUAGGGAUGAAAUGUCUACCGCAAUUUACGAUAGCUGGUUAGUUGAGAGGGAUAUCAAAGUGUCGGCUUUUUGUUAACUUUAUUUUAAAAGAAAGUGAAGUUUGACAAGUAGCUAAGAUAGGGAAGGAUAAGCUUCUUUAUUUGUAUAAAAACAUUAUUGAAAGAGGAGUUAAAUAUGGGCUUAAGAUUAGCCACUAUUUAAAAAGUUUGUUAUAAAAUAUAACUUCUUUAUUCUUUAAAUUUAUUUAAAGUUUUAUUCUUGUGUAUCAACGAGUUUUAGGAAAUUGUGUUCUGAAAGUUAUACUGGUAAGAUGAGUAUUUGUUAGAAAUGAUCUUAUGAAAUUUUAGAUGAAAUAAGAUAUAGAAUGGUUUAAAUGUAGAAAACAAGUAGAAGGAACUCGGCAAAAAGUUGUUUCGCCAGUUUAUCAAAAACAUGGCUCUUUGUGGUAAAGAGAUAGAGAGUCGGACCUGCCCGGUGAUAUAUAUUUAACGGCCGCGGUACCCUGACCGUGCAAAGGUAGCAUAAUCAUUUGCCUUUUAAUUGAAGGCUGGAAUGAAUGGUUUGACGAAAACAAAACUGUCUCCUAUUUGUUAUUUAAAAAUUAAUUUUGAUGUGAAGAAGCAUUAAUAUCUCUAAAAGACAAGAAGACCCUAUUGAGCUUGAAUGAUUAUUAAAGACAGGAGUAUGAAUACAAAAAACUGUUUUUUGAGAGUUAUUUUAGUUGGGGCGACUGAGGAACAAAAUAGCUUCCUUUAAAUUUAUGAAAGAGUGAUGGGUAUAGAUCCAGUAUUACUGAUUAGAAGAAUUAGUUACCAUAGGGAUAACAGCGUAAUCUUUUUUGAGAGUUCAUAUCGAAAAAAAGGCUUGCGACCUCGAUGUUGGAUUAAGAUUUCCGGUUGGUGUAGAAGCUUUCUUUGGUUGGUCUGUUCGACCAUUAAAAUCUUACAUGAUCUGAGUUCAGACCGGCGUGAGCCAGGUCGGUUUCUAUCUUUAGAGAAAAAAGAGUUUAGGCUAGUACGAAAGGACCGUUUUAAACCAAAAUUUUUGUUAAUAAUGAAGAAAUUUAAUAUAUAAAUGAAUUGAAAAA
RNAcentral lists this ribosomal RNA (1356 nucleotides) under Chrysomallon squamiferum (scaly-foot gastropod). Its description in RNAcentral is "16S ribosomal RNA". The stretch from base 633 to 1356 matches the Rfam family "Archaeal large subunit ribosomal RNA", at positions 1423 to 2873 of the family's 2987-position model. Lineage: Eukaryota; Metazoa; Mollusca; Gastropoda; Neomphalida; Peltospiridae. The record is from RNAcentral.